UUUUUUUUUUUUAGUAAGUCACACGGUGGCGCUAUUUUAAGAUGGCCGCGGAAUGCGAAUGAGGACCAGGACCGCCUGGAGUGUGUUUGUUGUUGGUUGGGGCCCACCGUCUAGGCAGUGCUGGUUUUCCUUAUCCGGUCAAAUUCUCCCCCUAUCCCAUCUGUUUGCCAGUAAGUGGGGGUAUAUUCGACCGGAGGCAGAAUUCCACCAGUCGUUACUAAGCAAAAACCUUGGGUCUGACUAAGGUCGAUGCUAUGCUGCAAACAUGUCACGUGGGCUCCAUGUUGAGUUCGGCGGGUUGAUCAGUCACCAGGCUGCAAGAACGGGAGUGACAACAGCUGGCCGAUGAAAUCCCGAACUCCGUCGUCGGAUGGCACCCCACAGUCCAACUUCGAAGUCCACCACCAGCUCUUGAAGAUUUGCAGCACGGGACGGCAGCUUCCUCCGCAGGGCUUUGAGCACCUUCUAAUGGUCUUUCUUUGUCCGCCGAGUCAUCAAGACAAAGGCCAGCGGAACCUGCUUCAUCCCACCGGUGUCUCCCUUGACGGAUGCAUGAACUGAGAACAGUUGGGUGAAAGGACGUUUCACCAACUUGAAAGUUCCAUCCAAGUACCAGGUCUUGGCGCCAUCCAGCACAUGGAGUUGAUCCGGUGUAAAAAACACCACAUGGUGAGCACUACCAAGGUGAAUGUCUUUCUGGAGGAAGUGUUCGGGGAUGAAGCCUUGGUCAAUUAUAAAGUCAAUGUCUCGUGGUUCGG
This is a long non-coding RNA of Patiria miniata (bat star), 758 nucleotides long. RefSeq lists it as uncharacterized. NCBI's taxonomy places the organism in Eukaryota, Metazoa, Echinodermata, Asteroidea, Valvatida, Asterinidae. The record is from RefSeq and is a predicted model, not a curated record. The transcript is spliced from 3 exons.